Molecule: ribosomal RNA, 238 nt
Filed under: Streptomyces sp. PDS1
Lineage: Bacteria; Bacillati; Actinomycetota; Actinomycetes; Kitasatosporales; Streptomycetaceae
Description: partial 16S ribosomal RNA
Rfam family: Bacterial small subunit ribosomal RNA
Source: RNAcentral
GGCGACGACGGGUAGCCGGCCUGAGAGGGCGACCGGCCACACUGGGACUGAGACACGGCCCAGACUCCUACGGGAGGCAGCAGUGGGGAAUAUUGCACAAUGGGCGCAAGCCUGAUGCAGCGACGCCGCGUGAGGGAUGACGGCCUUCGGGUUGUAAACCUCUUUCAGCAGGGAAGAAGCGCAAGUGACGGUACCUGCAGAAGAAGCGCCGGCUAACUACGUGCCAGCAGCCGCGGUA